UAAACAACCUCACUGAUCACUGACUUUAUGUUUAUUUGGGUUUAUUCUAAUGUUAUAUAGAGUUUAUUACAGGUAAACGCUCUCACUGAUCACUGACUUUAUGUUUAUUUGGGUUUAUUCUAAUGUUACAUAGAGUUUAUUACAGGUAAACGCUCUCACUGAUCACUGACUUUAUGUUUAUUUUGGUUUAUUCUUAUGUUAUAUAGAGUUUAUUACAGGUAAACGCGCUCACUGAUAAAUGAUUUUAUGUUUAUUUGGGUUUAUUCUAAUGUUAUAUAGAGUUUAUUACAGGUAGACACUCUCACUGAUCACUGACUUUAUGUUUAUUUAGGUUUAUUCUAAUGUUAUAUAGAGUUUAUUACAGGUAAACACUCUCACUGAUCACUGACUUUAUGUUUAUUUGGGUUUAUUCUAAUGUUAUAU
This is a long non-coding RNA of Astyanax mexicanus (Mexican tetra), 423 nucleotides long. RefSeq lists it as uncharacterized. NCBI's taxonomy places the organism in Eukaryota, Metazoa, Chordata, Actinopteri, Characiformes, Acestrorhamphidae. The record is from RefSeq and is a predicted model, not a curated record. The transcript has 4 exons.